Molecule: ribosomal RNA, 1370 nt
Filed under: uncultured bacterium
Lineage: Bacteria
Description: bacterial SSU rRNA
Rfam family: Bacterial small subunit ribosomal RNA
Source: RNAcentral
AGAGUUUGAUCCUGGCUCACGACGAACGCUGGCGGCGCGCCUAACACAUGCAAGUCGAACGAGCGAGAGAGAGCUUGCUUUCUCAAGCGAGUGGCGAACGGGUGAGUAACGCGUGAGGAACCUGCCUCAAAGAGGGGGACAACAGUUGGAAACGACUGCUAAUACCGCAUAAGCCCACAGCUCGGCAUCGAGCAGAGGGAAAAGGAGCAAUCCGCUUUGAGAUGGCCUCGCGUCCGAUUAGCUGGUUGGUGAGGUAAUGGCCCACCAAGGCGACGAUCGGUAGCCGGACUGAGAGGUUGAACGGCCACAUUGGGACUGAGACACGGCCCAGACUCCUACGGGAGGCAGCAGUGGGGAAUAUUGCACAAUGGGGGAAACCCUGAUGCAGCGACGCCGCGUGGAGGAAGAAGGUCUUCGGAUUGUAAACUCCUGUUGUUGAGGAAGAUAAUGACGGUACUCAACAAGGAAGUGACGGCUAACUACGUGCCAGCAGCCGCGGUAAAACGUAGGUCACAAGCGUUGUCCGGAAUUACUGGGUGUAAAGGGAGCGCAGGCGGGAAGACAAGUUGGAAGUGAAAUCUAUGGGCUCAACCCAUAAACUGCUUUCAAAACUGUUUUUCUUGAGUAGUGCAGAGGUAGGCGGAAUUCCCGGUGUAGCGGUGGAAUGCGUAGAUAUCGGGAGGAACACCAGUGGCGAAGGCGGCCUACUGGGCACCAACUGACGCUGAGGCUCGAAAGUGUGGGUAGCAAACAGGAUUAGAUACCCUGGUAGUCCACACCGUAAACGAUGAUUACUAGGUGUUGGAGGAUUGACCCCUUCAGUGCCGCAGUUAACACAAUAAGUAAUCCACCUGGGGAGUACGACCGCAAGGUUGAAACUCAAAGGAAUUGACGGGGGCCCGCACAAGCAGUGGAGUAUGUGGUUUAAUUCGACGCAACGCGAAGAACCUUACCAAGUCUUGACAUCCUGCGACGCACAUAGAAAUAUGUGUUUCCUUCGGGACGCAGAGACAGGUGGUGCAUGGUUGUCGUCAGCUCGUGUCGUGAGAUGUUGGGUUAAGUCCCGCAACGAGCGCAACCCUUACUGUCAGUUACUACGCAAGAGGACUCUGGCAGGACUGCCGUUGACAAAACGGAGGAAGGUGGGGAUGACGUCAAAUCAUCAUGCCCUUUAUGACUUGGGCUACACACGUACUACAAUGGCGUUAAACAAAGAGAAGCAAGACCGCGAGGUGGAGCAAAACUCAGAAACAACGUCCCAGUUCGGACUGCAGGCUGCAACUCGCCUGCACGAAGUCGGAAUUGCUAGUAAUCGUGGAUCAGCAUGCCACGGUGAAUACGUUCCCGGGCUAUUGUACACAGCGCCCGUC